AACGAACGCUGGUGGCAUGCCUAACACAUGCAAGUCGAACGAAGGCUUCGGCCUUAGUGGCGCACGGGUGCGUAACGCGUGGGAAUCUGCCCUUAGGUUCGGAAUAACAGUUAGAAAUGACUGCUAAUACCGGAUGAUGACGUAAGUCCAAAGAUUUAUCGCCUGAGGAUGAGCCCGCGUAGGAUUAGCUAGUUGGUGUGGUAAAGGCGCACCAAGGCGACGAUCCUUAGCUGGUCUGAGAGGAUGAUCAGCCACACUGGGACUGAGACACGGCCCAGACUCCUACGGGAGGCAGCAGUGGGGAAUAUUGGACAAUGGGCGCAAGCCUGAUCCAGCAAUGCCGCGUGAGUGAUGAAGGCCUUAGGGUUGUAAAGCUCUUUUACCCGUGAUGAUAAUGACAGUAGCGGGAGAAUAAGCCCCGGCUAACUCCGUG
RNAcentral lists this ribosomal RNA (433 nucleotides) under uncultured bacterium. RNAcentral describes it as "partial 16S ribosomal RNA". It matches the Rfam family "Bacterial small subunit ribosomal RNA", at positions 29 to 507 of the family's 1533-position model. The record is from RNAcentral.